This 460-nucleotide ribosomal RNA is filed under the name uncultured bacterium. Its description in RNAcentral is "partial 16S ribosomal RNA". It matches the Rfam family "Bacterial small subunit ribosomal RNA", at positions 338 to 795 of the family's 1533-position model. The record is from RNAcentral.
CCUACGGGAGGCAGCAGUGAGGAAUAUUGGUCAAUGGACGAGAGUCUGAACCAGCCAAGUAGCGUGAAGGAUGACUGCCCUAUGGGUUGUAAACUUCUUUUAUAUGGGAAUAAAAUGUUCCACGUGUGGGAUUUUGUAUGUACCAUAUGAAUAAGGAUCGGCUAACUCCGUGCCAGCAGCCGCGGUAAUACGGAGGAUCCGAGAGUUAUCCGGAUUUAUUGGGUUUAAAGGGAGCGUAGGUGGAUUGUUAAGUCAGUUGUGAAAGUUUGCGGCUCAACCGUAAAAUUGCAGUUGAAACUGGCAGUCUUGAGUACAGUAGAGGUGGGCGGAAUGCGUGGUGUAGCGGUGAAAUGCUUAGAUAUCACGAAGAACUCCGAUUGCGAAGGCAGUUCACUGGACUGCAACUGACACUGAGGCUCGAAAGUGUGGGUAUCAAACAGGAUUAGAGACCCCGGUAGUC